AUGCUCGAUGGUAUCAUCUGUUUGGAUAAUGAAGAAGCAAUUACUGUCAUGGCAAGAGCAGGCAAAGAGAACAGAAGCCUGCAUGUUAUUGUGGAUGAGAGAAAUCAUAUCAAAUCUUCAUGGGAUGAUGUCAUAUACAUAGGGUGCCCUGAACUCCAAAGGGUAAUGACUCCUAGGAAAAUGCUAAGUGGUUUUCACCCCGGUGAAGGCAGCUCAAGAAUUAGCAGUGCAUCUAUGGUUGUGAUCAAUGAAGCAGAGCCAGAAACUUAUGUGCAUCCAGUUCGUGAAGAGCAAGUACAUGAAGAAAAUGAAGAGGAAUCGGAUAAAGAUCUUCAAGAGGAAUCAGAGGAGGUGGAGGGAGAGGACAAUGAGAUGGAUGAUGACUUCUAUGAAAGUGAUUAUGAUGUUGCGGAUGGGGAUGAUGACCUCUUUGAGGAGAAUGUGGAGCUGCUUUGGUUGCAUAUAGUGUGA
This 471-nucleotide ribosomal RNA is filed under the name Triticum aestivum (bread wheat). RNAcentral's name for it is "partial small subunit ribosomal RNA". The record is from RNAcentral. Lineage: Eukaryota; Viridiplantae; Streptophyta; Magnoliopsida; Poales; Poaceae.